AAGAGCUCAGAAACAAAAUGGAUUUUCAGGCUCAAAUUUUGAGCUUGCUGCUGGUCAGUGUCACAGUGUCCAAUGGACAAACUGUGCUCACCCAGUCUCCAGAAUCCCUGGCUGCUUCCCCAGGGGACAGGGUCACCAUCACCUGCACGGCAAGCUCCAGUAUAAGCACCAGUGGGUUGCACUGGUACCAACAAAAGCCAGGAGCCUCUCCCAAGCUCUUGGUAUAUGGCACCUCCAAACUGGCCUCUGGAGUCCCAGCUCGCUUCAGUAGAAGUGGAUCAGGGACCUCUUACUCUCUCACAAUCAGCAAUGUGGAGGCUGAAGAUGCUGCAAUCUAUUACUGUCAGCAGGGUAGUAGCUAUCCAUCCACACAGUGCUACACACUGCAACAAAAACCCCUUCAGCUCCUCAGAGACCAGCUGCUUCCACCUGAGUGGCUGGGACCUGACAGGGGUUUUACAUGUGAGUGA
Molecule: non-coding RNA, 470 nt
Organism: Fukomys damarensis (Damara mole-rat)
Lineage: Eukaryota; Metazoa; Chordata; Mammalia; Rodentia; Bathyergidae
Source: the annotation of a RefSeq genome assembly